CCUACGGGAGGCAGCAGUGGGGAAUAUUGCACAAUGGGGGAAACCCUGAUGCAGCGACGUCGCGUGAGUGAAGAAGUAUUUCGGUACGUAAAGCUCUAUCAGCAGGGAAGAAAAUGACGGUACCUGACUAAGAAGCCCCGGCUAACUACGUGCCAGCAGCCGCGGUAAUACGUAGGGGGCCAGCGUUAUCCGGAUUUACUGGGUGUAAAGGGAGCGUAGACGGCAGCGCAAGUCUGGAGUGAAAUCCCAUGGCUUAACCAUGGAACUGCUUUGGAAACUGUGCAGCUAGAGUGCAGGAGAGGUAAGCGGAAUUCCUAGUGUAGCGGUGAAAUGCGUAGAUAUUAGGAGGAACACCAGUGGCGAAGGCGGCUUACUGGACUGUAACUGACGUUGAGGCUCGAAAGCGUGGGGAGCAAACAGGAUUAGAUACCCUAGUAGUC
This 440-nucleotide ribosomal RNA is filed under the name uncultured bacterium. Its description in RNAcentral is "partial 16S ribosomal RNA". It matches the Rfam family "Bacterial small subunit ribosomal RNA", at positions 338 to 795 of the family's 1533-position model. The record is from RNAcentral.